Molecule: ribosomal RNA, 625 nt
Filed under: uncultured Bacilli bacterium
Lineage: Bacteria; Bacillati; Bacillota; Bacilli
Description: bacterial SSU rRNA
Rfam family: Bacterial small subunit ribosomal RNA
Source: RNAcentral
UAUACCGUAGCUUGCUACACCAUUGACUGUGAGUUGCGAACGGGUGAGUAACGCGUAGGUAACCUGCCUAUUAGAGGGGGAUAACUAUUGGAAACGACAGCUAAUACCGCAUAACAGUAUGUAACACAUGUUAGAUGCUUGAAAGAUGCAAUUGCAUCGCUAGUAGAUGGACCUGCGUCGUAUUAGCUAGUAGGUAGGGUAAUGGCCUACCUAGGCGACGAUACAUAGCCGACCUGAGAGGGUGAUCGGCCACACUGGGACUGAGACACGGCCCAGACCCCUACGGGAGGCAGCAGUAGGGAAUCUUCGGCAAUGGGGGGAACCCUGACCGAGCAACGCCGCGUGAGUGAAGAAGGUUUUCGGAUCGUAAAGCUCUGUUGUUAAGGAAGAACGAGUGUGAGAAUGGAAAGUUCAUACUGUGACGGUACUUAACCAGAAAGGGACGGCUAACUACGUGCCAGCAGCCGCGGUAAUACGUAGGCCCCGAGCGUUGUCCGGAUUUAUUGGGCGUAAAGCGAGCGCAGGCGGUUAGAAAAGUCUGAAGUGAAAGGCAGUGGCUCAACCAUUGUAGGCUUUGGAAACUGUUUAACUUGAGUGCAGAAGGGGAGAGUGGAAUUCCAUGUGU